UACGGAGGCUGCACGCGUUAUCCGGAAUGAUUGGGCGUAAAGCGUCCGCAGGUGGUUGUGUGUGUCUAUUGUCAAAGCAUCAUGCUUAACAUGAUAAAGGCAGUAGAAACUACACGACUAGAGUGCGUUCGGGGCAGAGGGAAUUCCUGGUGUAGCGGUGAAAUGCGUAGAGAUCAGGAAGAACACCGGUGGCGAAAGCGCUCUGCUAGGCCGCAACUGACACUGAGGGACGAAAGCUAGGGGGGCGAAUGGG
This 253-nucleotide ribosomal RNA is filed under the name uncultured bacterium. RNAcentral describes it as "partial 16S ribosomal RNA". It matches the Rfam family "Bacterial small subunit ribosomal RNA", at positions 524 to 776 of the family's 1533-position model. The record is from RNAcentral.